CGACUCUCGGCAACGGAUAUCUCGGCUCUCGCAUCGAUGAAGAACGUAGCGAAAUGCGAUACUUGGUGUGAAUUGCAGAAUCCCGUGAACCAUCGAGUCUUUGAACGCAAGUUGCGCCCGAAGCCUUCGGGCCGAGGGCACGCCUGCCUGGGCGUCACGCAUCGCGUCGCCCCCCACCA
RNAcentral lists this ribosomal RNA (179 nucleotides) under Ruellia eurycodon. RNAcentral describes it as "5.8S ribosomal RNA". The stretch from base 2 to 157 matches the Rfam family "5.8S ribosomal RNA". Rfam says of the family: 5.8S ribosomal RNA (5.8S rRNA) is a component of the large subunit of the eukaryotic ribosome. Lineage: Eukaryota; Viridiplantae; Streptophyta; Magnoliopsida; Lamiales; Acanthaceae. The record is from RNAcentral.